This 480-nucleotide ribosomal RNA is filed under the name uncultured bacterium. RNAcentral describes it as "partial 16S ribosomal RNA". It matches the Rfam family "Bacterial small subunit ribosomal RNA", at positions 28 to 523 of the family's 1533-position model. The record is from RNAcentral.
GACGAACGCUGGCUGCGUGCUUAACACAUGCAAGUCGAACGGUAAGGCCCUUCGGGGUACACGAGUGGCGAACGGGUGAGUAACACGUGGGUGAUCUGCCCUGCACUUUGGGAUAAGCCUGGGAAACUGGGUCUAAUACCGAAUACACCCUGCUGGUCGAAUGGCCGGGUGGGGGAAAGCUUUUGCGGUGUGGGAUGGGCCCGCGGCCUAUCAGCUUGUUGGUGGGGUGAUGGCCUACCAAGGCGACGACGGGUAGCCGGCCUGAGAGGGUGACCGGCCACACUGGGACUGAGAUACGGCCCAGACUCCUACGGGAGGCAGCAGUGGGGAAUAUUGCACAAUGGGCGCAAGCCUGAUGCAGCGACGCCGCGUGAGGGAUGACGGCCUUCGGGUUGUAAACCUCUUUCAAUAGGGACGAAGCGCAAGUGACGGUACCUAUAGAAGAAGGACCGGCCAACUACGUGCCAGCAGCCGCCGUAA